CUGCCAAUUCUCCACAGUACUAUAUCCUAUAAGGGUGACCCCUUGGAUAAUUUGGAGGCUACCAUACCUCCCCAUACACGGGCUACGUCCCGACAUUACUGACCGCUCAUCCCGGUCUUAUUGAGGGUGACCCCCUCCUCAGACCACUCCCAGGAAAUCUCUAAGUGGUACUGAUUGAAACAAUUCUGGGUGACCCCCAGUUGUACGUGGAGGCCCACUAAGUGGCAAUAAGUGUACUACCGUACCUGACACCUGUUCGGUACCCCAUAGACCGAAAGAGUGUCCCAACAUGCCAUAAGAGACAUUCAUACAGGGGUGACCCCCCUAUGCUGGGUGAACCCCAAGCGAGUCUUACUCCGGUGCUAG
This is a non-coding RNA of Pelobates cultripes (western spadefoot toad), 366 nucleotides long. The record is from the annotation of a GenBank genome assembly. NCBI's taxonomy places the organism in Eukaryota, Metazoa, Chordata, Amphibia, Anura, Pelobatidae.